GGAGAUGGAGGCAUCUUCCACGUGGCGGAGACUACAGCUCCCGGCGUACAUCGCGCGGGGCAGCGCGUGGCACGCCGGGAGUUGUAGUCUCCGCUUCGGGAAGCGGACGCUGAGGGUGCGCGGCCGGAGGAUGGAGGAGCUCGUUCUCCCUGGUGGCCUCAGUUGGGUGCCUGUCAUCAUCCUCUUUGUCCCCGUCACCGUCAGAGCCAGUCUCAUCCGAGUUGUCCUCCAGGUAUGUCCCCACCGCCACCACCAACGUCAGCAGCAUGAUGGACAGCUUGGCCUGCGGCCCAUGGAGUUUUGGGAUUGGCGUGGGGGUGUGUCCCCAAAAAGCCUGGAAUGUCUCAGAGUGGGCUG
Pyrgilauda ruficollis (rufous-necked snowfinch) is the source of this 357-nucleotide long non-coding RNA. RefSeq lists it as uncharacterized. The transcript has 3 exons. Lineage: Eukaryota; Metazoa; Chordata; Aves; Passeriformes; Passeridae. The record is from RefSeq and is a predicted model, not a curated record.